This 484-nucleotide ribosomal RNA is filed under the name Haloarcula japonica. Its description in RNAcentral is "bacterial SSU rRNA". It matches the Rfam family "Archaeal small subunit ribosomal RNA", at positions 385 to 870 of the family's 1478-position model. Lineage: Archaea; Methanobacteriati; Methanobacteriota; Halobacteria; Halobacteriales; Haloarculaceae. The record is from RNAcentral.
GUGAGGGCAUAUAGCCCUCGCUUUUCUGUACCGUAAGGUGGUACAGGAACAAGGACUGGGCAAGACCGGUGCCAGCCGCCGCGGUAAUACCGGCAGUCCAAGUGAUGGCCGAUAUUAUUGGGCCUAAAGCGUCCGUAGCUUGCUGUGUAAGUCCAUUGGGAAAUCGACCAGCUCAACUGGUCGGCGUCCGGUGGAAACUACCCGGCUUGGGGCCGAAAGACUCAACGGGUACGUCCGGGGUAGGAGUGAAAUCCUGUAAUCCUGGACGGACCACCAAUGGGGAAACCACGUUGAGAGACCGGACCCGACAGUGAGGGACGAAAGCCAGGGUCUCGAACCGGAUUAAAUACCCGGGUAGUCCUGGCUGUAAACAAUGCUCGCUAGGUAUGUCACGCGCCAUGAGCACGUGAUGUGCCGUAGUGAAGACAAUAAGCGAGCCGCCUGGGAAGUACGUCCGCAAGGAUGAAACUUAAAGGAAUUGGCA